UUGUCUCAGAGGAAUCCCAGGUGCUUCCAGGAUUGGAUGGCCCCAGAACCCAGGACCCUGAACCCAGUCUGUAAGUGGAGGGAAGCCUUCAAGAGCAAGGGGGAAGCUGAGAGGAGAGGCGGUGACAGCUGAAGCUCGAGCAUUGGUUCGGAACUGCCAACUAGGCCCAGAGAGUGCUAGGGCUCUUGCUAAACCUAGAGGAAGUUACGAGGGGAGCUUUGCUUCUCUUGUUAUGAGACAAGACUACCUCACUGGGAGCACUAGAGGAAGUAGAUUAAAAAAAAGGAAGUGCCUAAGAGGACAGAGUGAGCAAGGCUCUGCACGACGGUUCCUGAAAAAACUGCGGCUGUGGAGUAAGGAGCAGGCCAAGUGACACUUGAGUUGGUUGACGUCAAGACUUAGUAAACAUGAACAAUGGUGCCUGUUUGUUUUCUAAUGAGAGAGAGAGAAGGAAAGAAUGUGGACUUGGAUGAGAAAGGAGGUGG
This is a long non-coding RNA of Meriones unguiculatus (Mongolian gerbil), 485 nucleotides long. RefSeq lists it as uncharacterized. NCBI's taxonomy places the organism in Eukaryota, Metazoa, Chordata, Mammalia, Rodentia, Muridae. The record is from RefSeq and is a predicted model, not a curated record. The transcript has 3 exons.